This is a non-coding RNA of Heterocephalus glaber (naked mole-rat), 263 nucleotides long. Lineage: Eukaryota; Metazoa; Chordata; Mammalia; Rodentia; Bathyergidae. The record is from RefSeq and is a predicted model, not a curated record.
CAAAAUUGAGAGGAUGGUACAGACACCUACUAUAUACCCCUUGAUCUUACACAUCUAUGGCCUCCAGAAUUAUUAGUGUAACCAGAGUGGCUUCUUUCACUUAAUAAAUCUGAGAAGUGAUAGGACUCCCCCAGGAGCCCAAGGUGACAGAGAGCCUGAGCUUGGAUUCACAAUGCUUUUUGUUAAUCAGACCCUGAAUAUCAGCCUCCAUCACAGCCAGCUAUCAGGAAUCCCUGGAGUGUCUUGGUACCUUUGCUCCUGGU